This 120-nucleotide ribosomal RNA is filed under the name uncultured bacterium. RNAcentral's name for it is "partial 16S ribosomal RNA". It matches the Rfam family "Bacterial small subunit ribosomal RNA", at positions 215 to 334 of the family's 1533-position model. The record is from RNAcentral.
GCGCUGAAGGAGGAGCCCGCGGCCGAUUAGCUGGUUGGUAGGGUAACGGCCUACCAAGGCUGAGAUCGGUAGCCGGCCUGAGAGGGCACACGGCCACACUGGCACUGAAACACGGGCCAG